GAUGAACGCUGGCGGCGUGCCUAAUACAUGCAAGUCGAGCGAACAGACGAGGAGCUUGCUCCUUUGACGUUAGCGGCGGACGGGUGAGUAACACGUGGGUAACCUACCUAUAAGACUGGGAUAACUUCGGGAAACCGGAGCUAAUACCGGAUAAUAUUUCGAACCGCAUGGUUCGAUAGUGAAAGAUGGCUCUGCUAUCACUUAUAGAUGGACCUGCGCCGUAUUAGCUAGUUGGUAAGGUAACGGCUUACCAAGGCAACGAUACGUAGCCGACCUGAGAGGGUGAUCGGCCACACUGGAACUGAGACACGGUCAAGACGCCUACGGGAGGCAGCAGUAGGGAAUCUGCCGCAAUGGGCGAAAGCCUGACGGAGCAACGCCGCGUGAGUGAUGAAGGUCUUCGGAUCGUAAAACUCUGUUAUUAGGGAAGAACAAACGUGUAAGUAACUGUGCACGUCUUGACGGUACCUAAUCAGAAAGCCACGGCUAACUACGUG
RNAcentral lists this ribosomal RNA (497 nucleotides) under uncultured bacterium. RNAcentral describes it as "partial 16S ribosomal RNA". It matches the Rfam family "Bacterial small subunit ribosomal RNA", at positions 28 to 507 of the family's 1533-position model. The record is from RNAcentral.